CCCCUCAUCGUUCAAUGGACAGGACGCGAGAUUCCGGAUCUCGCGAUGUAGGUUCGAUUCCUACUGAGGGGA
Candidatus Azambacteria bacterium is the source of this 72-nucleotide non-coding RNA. Lineage: Bacteria; Candidatus Azamiibacteriota. The record is from Rfam.